GCUCAGUCGGGUUGACAGUCCCCUUGCAACCGCUAGAGUAGUUGCAUCAUAUAAAUGUUAUUCACCCUGUGAUUGUAAUACAGAUUCGAUACAUUUCUUUAUUGCUACCUCCAGAGAUCAUUUCAGAGAUUUUGGAAGUUCGUCCAACAGGCCUUACAACCGCAGACCACGUGUAACCCAUGCCAGCCCAGGACUGCCACAUCCGGCUUCUUCACCUGCGGGAUCGUCUGAGGCCAGCCACACGGACAGCUGAUUAAACGGUUUGUUUACACAACCGUAGAAUUUCUGCACAAACUGUUAGAAAUUGCCUCAGGGAAGCUCUUCUAUGCGCUCAACAUCCUCACCGGGGUCUUGAUUUGUCUGCAGUUCAGUGUCAUAAUCAACGUGAGUGGGCAAGAGCUCACCUUCAAUGGCCACUGGCACGCUGGAGAACGGUCUUCUUCACUGAAGAAUCAUAGUUUGUAUACAGGGCAGAUGGCAGGCAGCCUGUAUGGCGUUGGGUGGGUGAGCGGUUUGCUGAUGUCAACGAUGUGAACAGAGUGGCCCAUGGUGCUGGUGGCUAGUUGGUAUGGGCAGGCAUAUCCUAUGGGCAGAACUCGCGUGCAUUUUAUCCAUGGCAAUUUGAAUGCACAGAGAUAUCGUGAGGAGAUUCUGAGGCCCAUUGCUGUGCCAUUCAUCCGCCGCCAUCACGUCAUGUUUCAGCAUGACAAUGCACAGCCUCAUGUUGCAAGGAUCUGUACACAAUUCCUCGAAGAUGAAAAUGUUCCAGUUCUUCCAUGUCCUGCAUACUCACCAGACAGGUCACCCAUUGAGCAUGAUUGGGAUGCUCUGGACCAGGGUAUACAAUAGCUUGUUUCAGUUCCCCCCAAUAUCCAACAACUUUGUACAGCUAUUGAAGAGGAGUGGGACAAUAUUCCACAGGCUACAAUCAAUUCAAUGUGAAGAUGUGUUGCGUUGCAUGAAGCAAAUGGUGGUCACACGAUACUGAUUGGUAUUCUGUUCAUUUCAUGGUAUCAUUUUUUGGGGAAUCUGUGACUAACAAAUGCAUAUCUUUAUCCCCAAACACAUGAAAUCAAUAAAUAAGUACAUAAUGAAUCUAUUUCAGUUGGCUGAAUUACGUUUACCUUUGAACUCAAAAUCUUCAAAAUUGAUGUUGCAUUUCUAUUUGUUCAGUGUACGUAGAUGUAUUUACGUCAAAGUUUAUUGAACAGAAGAAAAAAAAAACCCUGUUCAUGUUUUAUAUUAAUCUUUAAUGUCUUCAAAAAAAGUGAAGCUGCUUUGUGACAGUGAUGUUCACACUGCAGCUGGAUAUUGCUGUAUGCACAUUUGAAGAAGUGUUCUCUUGUGUAAAAGGGACAUGCACUGUCACAGUAGGUUACAAAGAAUUUGAGUCAUGGCAUUUACUGGAGGCAGGGUGUUAAAUGUGGCCAAAAAUCAA
This is a long non-coding RNA of Anguilla rostrata (American eel), 1438 nucleotides long. RefSeq lists it as uncharacterized. NCBI's taxonomy places the organism in Eukaryota, Metazoa, Chordata, Actinopteri, Anguilliformes, Anguillidae. The transcript is spliced from 2 exons. The record is from RefSeq and is a predicted model, not a curated record.